Molecule: small nuclear RNA, 137 nt
Filed under: Chinchilla lanigera (long-tailed chinchilla)
Lineage: Eukaryota; Metazoa; Chordata; Mammalia; Rodentia; Chinchillidae
Description: U4 spliceosomal RNA (ENSCLAG00000021050.1)
Rfam family: U4 spliceosomal RNA
About the family: U4 small nuclear RNA (U4 snRNA) is a component of the major U2-dependent spliceosome. The structure of U4 snRNA from yeast and human has been reported. U4 snRNA presents a k-turn RNA motif in the 5p-SL related to recognition of Snu13 protein.
Source: Rfam by way of RNAcentral
AGCUUUGCGCAGUGGCAGUAUCGUAGCUAAUGAGGUUUAUCUGAGGUGCGAUUAUUGCUAAUUGAAAACUAAAAUGGCCCGCAGAUCCUCAUGCACUCCCAGGUGGGGCUUUUGCAAUGACUGGAUCAUGGGUGUGA